UUUGUUAAGAUGUCCAUAGUACCAAAAGUGAUUUAUAGACUUAAUGUAUUCCUAACAAAAAUCCAGUGGCAUUUUUCUACAGGAAUAGAAUUCUAAAAUUUAUAUUGAAUCACAAAGUACCCCAAAUAGCCAAAACAGUCUUCAGAAAUAAGAGCAAAACCUGGAGGCAUCAGACUUUCUAUAAUAAUUAAAAUAAAUUGAUAUUUGCAUGAAGACAGACAUAUAAAUCAAUGUAACAUAAUAGCGAGCCCAGAAACUUACCUUGUAAACUUAUCUUGACAAGGAUGCCAAGGAUAUACAAUGGGGAAAGGACAUUCUCUUCGACAAAUGGUGUUGGACAACUGGAUAGCCACCUGCAAAAGAAUGAAAUUUAAACUUUAUACAUAAAACUCAAAAUAGAUUAAAGACUUAAAUAUAAGACCUGAAACUAAAACUUCGAGUAGAAAACAUAAAGGAAAGCUGUGUCACUGGUCUUGGCAAUGAUUUCUUAGACAUGACACCAAAAGCACAGCCAAUGAAAGCAAAAAUAGACAUUCAGGACAAGAUCAAACUAAAGAGCUUCGGCAAAAUAAACAACGGAGAGGGUGAAAAUGCAAACUGCAGAAUGGGAGAAAAUAUUUGCACACCAUAUAUCUGAUAAACGGUUAAUAUUCAAAAAAUAUAAGGAACUCCUUCAACUCAAUAACAAAAGAACAAAUUACCCAGAUAAAAAAUGGACAAGAGAGGCGGAGGCGGUGGCGCCCGGAAGGCCUCUGCUGUUAAGGCGGGCUUCACUUGACUGGCAGCGGACAGGUCGGACCUAAUGCUGGAGGACGAGCCGCAGCCGCCUUUGCGCCAACCUGGCCUGGGCCUGCCGGAGGCGAUGCCGCCAGGGGAUGCUCUUGCUGGGCCCGGCCUCUCCCUCCUCAAUUUAGGGCAGCGGCGGGCCCGGGGCCCCUGGCUCCCUGGCCAUGGCGCUGAGGGAGCUCAAAGUGUGUCUGCUGCGGGAUACAGGUGGGUGGUGGUUUGUGGAAGACCGUUUUGAUCCAAACAUCAACCCAACAAUGGGGGCAUCUUUUAUGACCAAGACUGUCCAGUACCAACAUGAGCUGCCGUAAAUUUCUAAUCUGGGGUACAGCUGGACAAGAACGAUUUCGUGCCUUAGCACCAAUGUCCUGUCGAGGGUCGGCCGCAGCUAUAAUCGUUUAUGAUAUCACAAAAGAAGAGACAUUUUCAACAUGAAAGAAUUGGGUGAAAGAGCUUGGACAGCAUGGCCCACAUAAUAUUGCAGUUGCCAUUGCAGGAAGUAAGUGUGAUCAUAUUGAUGUAAGAGAAUUCAUGGAGAGAGAUGCAAAGGACUAUGCCGACCUUAUUCAUGCAAUUUUUGCAGAGACCAGCGCAAAAAACGUGAUAAACAUAAGUGAACUCUUUACAGAAAUUAGUCAAAGAAUUCCAUCCACCGACGCCAACCCGCCUUCUGGUGGCAAGGGUUUCAAACUCCGAAGGCAGCCUUCAGAGCCAAAGCGGAGCUGCUGCUGACCGAACCUCAGCUCCUCAGACUUGAUGAUGAAGUAGGCGGUCCUGAAGGUUAACAGGAGGGCUGGGGUCCUGCCACCAGUUUCCACCUAGCCGGUGUUGAGUCUUCUCCGUGCAAAAAAGAAUUCAUAGAAAUUGACCAGUCUCUUCUCUAAAAACGGCAGCAAUGAUAUUUGUCUGUGGACUUCUAUUAUGUAAAGAAUCUCUAGCGUGCAAAGGGACUGCAUCAUUGGCUUUUGACCUUGCUGAAAAGGAACAUAUAAUUGUAUGGAUGGUAUGAUUAAGUUGUUGAGUAGUUUUGUCAUCACAAUUUUAUGUAACAUUUGUAAAGGGAAAAUUAGUACUUCUGUGGCUCGUAAGGGAAAAAAAGACCUCGUGGAGAUUGUAAUUUCCUGGGUUUCUGUUACCGCUGUUAGAGGGAGUUGUUUGAUUGAAAAUGUAGUAGGAUAGUCUUAGUGAAGAGAGAACGAUUAUGAUCUGAAGCUAAAAUGGGUUAUUUAUAGGACUGAUGGAAAUGACUUCAUCUCUGUCAUCUCUAAAGCACUUUUCAUUGACUAUGUUAGCCUAGGAUAUGUACAGUAAAUUAACAAGGAUAGCAGCAGACCGCUAGCUCCCCCUGGGUUUGCUUCUGACCUUGUCAUGUGUGUGCCACCAAACAUGUUACUGGCACCUUUUUAAAAUAAGCUCUCAUGAUCAAGAUGGUGAUGGUACAGAAGCUGCCUGGAAUAAAUUGAAUUUCAUGUGUUCUAAUUGACUAGCAAUUGUUUAAAAAGGAAGAAGAGAGGAAGUAAAGAAGCUGGUGUAAAUGGUGUCAAUUUUUUUUUCACCCAGGUAUUUUGGUGGGGAAAAACAAGUAUUGGUUGCUUUGCAUAUGUAAAGUUGUAGUCUAUAUUUAUGAGGCCAUCGCUUAAAGAUUAUAAGUUAUGUAAAUACACUAAUAAAUUCUGUUUCAUUUAAAAAAAAUAAAAAAUGGGCAAAAUACUUAAAUAGACAUUUCUCCAAAGAAUACAAAUGACCAAGAGGUGGAUGAAAAGAUGCUCAGCCAGGCACAGUGGAUCAUGCCUGUAAUCCCAGCACUCUGGGAGUCUGAGGUGGUAAAAUUGUGUGAGCCCAGGAGUUUGAGACCAGCCUGGGCAACAUAACAAGAUCCCAUCUCUACAAAUUUUUGUUUAAUUAUCCUGGUGUAGUCAUACAUACCUGUAGUCUCAGUUACUUGGGAGGCUGAGGCAGGAGGAUCUCUUGAGCCCAAGAGAUUGUAGCUGUAGUGGGCAUGUUUGCACCACUGCUGUCAACCUGGGUGCAAGACUCUGUUUCAAAACAGACAUACAAACCAGGAAACAAAUAAACAGAAAAGGUGCUCAAUAUCACUAACCAUCAAGGGAAUGCAAAUCAAAAGUACAAUGAGAUAUAACCUCACACCUGUCAGGAUGGCUAUUGUCCAAAAAAAAAAAAAUGGUACGUGUUGAUCAGGAUGUGAAGGAAUUGAAAGCUUUUUGCACUGUUGGCAGGAAUGUAAAAUUGUGCAUCCCCUAUGGAAAACAAUAUGGAGGUUUCUAAAAAACUUAAAAAUAGCAACACCACACGAUCACUCUUACUUUCGUGUAUUUAUCCAAAAGAACUGAAAGGAGGAACUUGAGAUAUUUGCACUCCCGUGUUCAUUACAGCAUUAUUCACAGUAAUCAAGAUGUAGAAACAACCUAAAUCUUCAUCAAUGGAUGUGUGGAUAAAGAAAAUGUGUAUAUUCAUCCUUUUAAACCACCAGAUCUCACGAUCACUCACUCACUGUCACAAGAACAGCAUCAAAGGGGAAAUCCACCCCCACGAGCCAAUCACCUCCCAUCAGGCCCCACCUCCAACACUGAAGAUUAUGAUUUGAAAUGAUAUUUGGGUGGGGACAGAGACCCAAACCAUAUUAAUGUGUUAUAUACACAUAAUGGAAUAUCUUUCAGCCUUAAAAAAUGAAGGAAAUUCUGCCAUCUGUGACAACAUAAAUAAACCUUGAGGCAUUGUGACAACAUGAAUAAACCUUGGGACCGUAUGCUAAGGGAAAUAAGCAUGAUAGCAAUAUUUGUGAGAUAUAUAAAGUAGACACAAAAAAGGAGGCAGGGAGGAUGAAGAAAUGGACAGCUGCUAUUCAAUGGGUGUAACAUUUCAGCAAUGCAAGAUGACUAAGCUCUAGAGAUGUGCUGUACAACAUUGGGCUUUUAGUCAAGAGUAAUGUCUUAUACACCUAAAAAUUCACUAGGAGUGUAGCUUCUAUGUUAAGUGUUCUUACAACCAAGAAAAAAAGAAUGUUAUUCUUCCUCUAUUUUUACAAAUAUUUUAGGGUGUCUAUGAGAGAGGUAGCAAAGUGUUUACCAGUUAGAUGCUGUUUUAAAGUGAAAGCCAUUUGCAUUCACAUUUGAUAGUACCUGUAUUUUGGUUGGUUUUCAAAAUAUCAUCAUCAUUAUCAUUAUCAUUUGCACUUCGUGUUCUCUAGUGCAACAUGGUAGAAGAAAUCAGUAGAAAAAAUGUAAAGCCUUAUUCCACCAGGAAAUUCAGUAUCACUAUAAAUAUCCACAACUACACAACAGGGUGACUGUAGCAAAUAACAAUGUGGCAUGUAUUUCAGGAGAAGAUUUUGAAUGUCACCACCACCAGGAAAGGAUAAGUGUCUAAAGUUAUGAAUACGGAAAUGGCUCUGAUCAUUACACUAUGUGUACAUGCAUUGAAACGUCACAUUGUACCCCAUAAAUAUGUACAACUAUCUCUAUGAUAUGAACUAGACCGGAGUAAGAUGUUACUUCGUUCAUUUUGCAUGCUAUAAAGGAAUACCUGAGGUUGGGUAAUUUAUAAAGAAAAGAGGUUUAUUUGGCUCACAGUUCUGCAGGCUGUAUAAGAAGCAUGGCAUCAGCAUCUGCCUAGCUUCUGGUGAGGGUGUCAGGAAGCUUUUACUCAUGUGGAAGGCAAGGAGAGCCUACCUGUCUCAGCUGCACAAAGAGAAGCAUCAUGAACCAUCAGAAGGAAGGCAGCUCGUUUAAACCACAGGUGCCUUGGCAGAAGGACAAUUCUUCAGAAACACACACGAGUAUUAUUUGUAAGAAAAGGAGGUAAACUCAGUUGCUCUGGUGGUAGACAGAGGAAUUAAAAUAGUUUUGGUUGAAGAGGAAAGUCUCAUGCUGGUGCCCCUCUAAAUUGAACUACCUACCCAUCCUAUCUUUCCCUAAGUCAUCUUUCUCUUAUAUUCUCCACCAAAAAAAAAAAAAACCAACUAAACCAAAAAUGGAAACAUUUGCAUUUUCUGCAUGCAUACAUCCUUACUCCCACUCUGCUCAUUCUCAGCAAAUUACCUCACCUCCUACUUCAAAGACAGUAGAAGGUAUCAGAAAAAUGUCCUUGAACGUCCUACUAACAAACCCAUAAUCUUUUGUGCACCUUCUCAUUCACCUUCCUCCGUCCCUGACAGGGUAGAGGACUCUCUGCCUCCACCAAUACUGAAUUCUAUUAUUCUAUCUCUCCUGGCUCACCAUCUUGUCAAAUAACAAGACACAUUAGGCCACAGGGCUUGUUCUACAACAGUCAUUUUCUAUGCAAAUAUGGCUCCAUUUCUGAUCUGCACUAAAGGGACACAAGUUUCCUAGGCAAUGUCAGUUUCAUUACGGGCCACUGGAAUCUUACAAAAUGUCUGGAUUGAGCAUAUGUUUUAUAGGAAUUAUGUGAGUUAUUUUGUACUAUUUUAUCUGGUUUUAAAAGAAACAGGACUGGGCACAGUGGCUCAUGCCUGUAAUUCCAGCAAUUUGGAAGGCUGUGGCAAGAAGAUUGCCUGAGGUCAGGAGUUUGAGACCUGACUGGGCCACAUAGCAAGACCCCAUCUAUGAAAAAAUAAAAUAAAAUGAAAGUAAGCAACUUGUUACUUCACUGACAGUAGAUGAUUGCAUUUAUGAGUAUUUCACAAGUAAAGAAAACUUAUAUAUUGCCUAUUUGUAUUUUUUUUCAACUACCUUCUAUAUUUUUAGUCAGCCUAGAUUUUGGAAAAGUCAUAUGAGUUAGAAGUGGAAGAUGUUCAUGUCUUUCUCUUUCCUGCAGAAAUUACCUAUUAAUAUAAGCAACUCUUAUUAUAAAGGUCAGGAUUGACCCACAGCCUCUUUGUUUGGGGGCGAUCACAGUUCCAAGUCUUUUCUGUCUCAAUCUCCUAGUAUUCUGUCUCCUGGUUUCCUAUUUCUGGCCUUUCCUUCUUUUCUGGUUGCUUUUCUGCAUCCAUAGCAGGUCCCUCUUCUUGUCCCUGAGAUGGGUGUUUCUCAGGGCACAGUCUUGGGCUUUCUGCUCUUUUUCUUUACUAAUUUUCACUGUACCUGGACAAAAGCACUCACUCUGAGGCUUCAGUGAUCACUUCAGUGCUACUGACUCACAAAUCAAUAACUCCAGCAUGCUCUCUCUUCUGCACUGUGUUUGAUGUCUGAUAAGUACCUCCGACUCUCCGUGUCCAGGAUUGAUUUUAUCUGGUCUACCCCAUUCCCUGCAUUUCUCUUUCCUUGGAUGGCACCAUAAUGGGCCAGCUGGAAGCCUUCCCUCUUACUUGCCCACCCAAGCACCUCAUGCCCCGGCAACCAUUUUUCAUGUAGGCAUUUCAUUUGGCACUAAUUCUGUUUACCUGAAUCUAUCAGCAGAGCCUACUUCCCUGCUCAGAUACAAUCGCCUCAGAGAUAAGAUAGUAUUUUAUCACUUGGUAGCCCUUUAUAAAUGGUUCAUACACUGUAGACUGAAAUGUUACAAAAAAAAUUUGGCUAAUCCUUAAAGGCAGUGAAGAAAGGCAUGGUGGUGAUGCUAGGAACAUUCUCUUCAGUAUUACCAAAUUGCCAAGCUUUUUUCUUGUACUGUUUUCAUGUUCCUUUCAGGAACACUAGACUCAUUCCUGCCCUGUGCAGUUUCAGUGGCAAGUACUGGGGAUGGAGAAAAAAAUGUGGUCCUUGUUCCAAAAAUGUAGCUUACAGAGUAAAGGAGGAGAGUGGUAGGAACACCGUCGCCACUCACCAGGGCUGUCUGUCAACACUGAGGUACAGAAGCCAGGGGGACCACAGGGCACCCCUCUGACCAGCAAGGUACCACAGACUUCCCAGAGGCACAGUGAAAUCUAAGAUGAGUUCUAAAUUCAGUCAUUUGUUCUGUUUGUUUUUUAUUCAGUCAUUUAUUAAAGAAAUAUUUACAUUAAUCCUCAAAACAGCUCUUUAGCAAUUGUGAAUCUCUAGCACCAAGCAAAUCUUUACCAUUAUUUUUUUAAAACCUUGGAAUCCCAGAGUUUGACAUAGAAGGGGGAUGAUGCAGGCCAGAUCAAAUCAAGAAAUUAAGAAGAAAAACAGCUUCCCCCGUAUGCGAUCUUAUUUUCAGGGAGUCAGACUGUCAGGCCAACUCAUGCAGAUGGAAAAGGAGACCAGGAGCUGCAUUCAACAUGCUCACGGUCUGCUGAUAGCUUUUCAAUACUGCUGCCUGUCAUUCCGAGUACAUGAGUACAAGGUUCCCUCCUUCUGAAUAAAUUACAGAGCAAUUACAGCCUAAGGGAUAGGAGUUUCCCGCUAGCUUUCUGAGCACUGCUGUGGCUCAGAAGCUCGCUGAGCCACAGUGUGAGUGAGCCUCAGAGAGAACAGCUGCCCUGGCUAACCUACCACCAAUUGCCUGGGGUGGAGUGAGGCAGCUAGGGCUUGCUCCCAAGCCUCAAGCCUCAACCUUGCUUUGAUGACUGACACAUGAAGUGAUGUAAGUGGAUGAAUAAUCCAGUGUGAGCUUCUGUGCCUUCAGAAAUUUUAGCCUUUCCUGGUAGGGCAAAGCUCUACCUUCUGUGUCUUGCAACUCUAUUGAGAGACUAAACAGGCAAACAGAAAACAGCCAGACCAUGCCUGAAAGACAGAACUCUGACCCACAGCCUGCAGCAACCUGCCGAGGAAGCAAACACAGUGUGUACAGUAGCCAGCCCGGGAAGCCCACCGGCUGUGUUAGACUUGUGGGAAGUCAGGCUGCUAUGUCUCGCAACAGUCCAGGAAGCCAAACUAUAACCCCUGCAACAACUGGCCCCAAAAAGCUAUGACUAAUUUUUUUUUUUGCUUUAAAAUAAGUCGUUUUAAAAAAUAUUAAUUUUUGAUGCACAAUAAUUGCAUA
This is a non-coding RNA of Callithrix jacchus (white-tufted-ear marmoset), 7644 nucleotides long. NCBI's taxonomy places the organism in Eukaryota, Metazoa, Chordata, Mammalia, Primates, Cebidae. The record is from RefSeq and is a predicted model, not a curated record.